This is a non-coding RNA of Misgurnus anguillicaudatus (oriental weatherfish), 772 nucleotides long. NCBI's taxonomy places the organism in Eukaryota, Metazoa, Chordata, Actinopteri, Cypriniformes, Cobitidae. The record is from RefSeq and is a predicted model, not a curated record.
CCACCACUACCACCAGCACUGCAAUCCCCACUGUGUCCCCAGCUCCAACGAUAGACCUGUUUGCUGGUUUUUUUGAUCCCAUGCCAGAUUCAUCUGUUCCCAAAACAGACCCAAAUCCCACUCUAGACUUGUUUUCAGCAGGUACACAAAGCAUCUGUCCAUGGAUUCCUUUCCUUGUUUGCAUGUUGCUUUUACUCGGUUCUGUCCUUGGCUACUCAAGGUGAGCCAAAUAUGCUUCUAUCUUGGGUUGCCAAAGGAAAUUCGAUUUCGCUCCAUCCCUGUAUCUCCAUAUCUCCCUGUAUAUCUAUAUCAUUUCUAUCUUUAUUUAUUCUUCACACCAUUCCAGCAUCUAUGGCUAUAUUAUGGCAAGAACCAGUUAACCCAUACACAAGUUGGGGGAGGGGCAAUUUGGAAUCUCCAAGUCACCUAACUUGCAUGUUUUUGGCCUGUGGGAUGAAACUGAAGUUCCCGGAUUAAGUUCCUGUUGACACAGGGGGAACAUGCAAACUCCACACAGAAAGGCCACCUGACCUAGCCAGGGCUCGAACCAGGGACCUUCUUGCUGUGAGGGAACAGUGCUACCCUAUCUCUCAUUUCAGUUUCAAUCAUCUCUCUAUUGGGCUUCGUCCUGCCGAUAUAAAAACAUUUAGGGGCUUUAAUUAUUGAAAACUUUAAAGGGAGGGUAGAUGUACUGAAAUGUUAUAACUGGUCUCAUAUUUAGAACAUACUUAUGGCACAGGUGUUAUCGUACAGUUGUACGUUAACUCUAACA